RNAcentral lists this unclassified non-coding RNA (359 nucleotides) under uncultured Ktedonobacterales bacterium. RNAcentral's name for it is "contains 16S-23S intergenic spacer region". Lineage: Bacteria; Bacillati; Chloroflexota; Ktedonobacteria; Ktedonobacterales. The record is from RNAcentral.
UCCCUUGCGGGCAGUUUCGCCGGAAAAAUACAACCGACGAUAGGGGUUGCGCUCGUUGGGGGACUUAACCCAACACCUCACGGCACGAGCUGACGACAGCCAUGCAGCACCUGUGCUGCUGUCCCUUGCGGGCACGAGUAUCUCUACCCGGUGCAACAGCAUGUCAAGCCCUGGUAAGGUUCUUCGCGUCGCAUCGAAUUAAACCACACGCUCCGCUGCUUGUGCGGGUCCCCGUCAAUUCCUUUGAGUUUUAAUCUUGCGACCGUACUCCCCAGGCGGUCCACUUAAUGCGUUAGCUGCAACAAAGACAGGGUCGAAACUGCCUCUAUCUAGUGGACAUCGUUUACGGCGUGGACUAC